UAUUUCUGUGUUAUUAAAGCUGGCUCUCUGUUUACAUUCUGUUCACUUGUUCUUCUUCUCACAGGUGUUUUCAAACGUUGUGAAAGACUGAGCUCACACUCCUCAACAUGAACCUGACUGACUGUGAUGAUGCCUUCAUGAAACGAGAGAGCUCCACUGUACGUACAGUAUAGCAAUCUACCAGGAGCUGCUUCAGGGCCCUGAGGACAACUCCUUUUACAACAGCUCUGUUCCAGAGAUGCUUCCUCCUCCUCCACAUCCACCACCUUCACCACCCCUCCUGCUCAUCGCCAGAACUAAGAGUGCCCCACCCCAUCUCAGCAACCACCACCAGUUUCUCCUGCAGCCACCGCCUCCAUAUGUAGAUUCUGACAGACACUGCUGACAGCCAAACCUCCUCCUACAGCUUCUGCCAGUGCACCUACGUCUACACCUCUUGAAGCCAACUGCGGCUGAACCUCCACCCACAGCCUCUGUCAGCAACCUGAACCAGCACCUACACCUCUCGUACACUACUGCCAUCCAAACCUCCACCUGUAACCUUUGCCAGCCGCCUGAAGACACCUCCUCCACCUGAAGAUCCCCACAGAAAGCUGGGGUCAAACCUCCACCUUCCGCCUCUAUAAGGAAACCUGCACAGAUGUUAUCCUACUGCUAUGGUUGGAUCUAAGUGGAACAGCAACGACCAGAGAAACACUGGUGUUUCCAUACGUUGUGUGAAAGACUGAGCACACACUCCUCAACAUGAACCUGACUGAUUGUGAUGAUGCCUUCAUGAAACAGAAAGAGCUCCUCUUCCUCCCACUUGCCUUGUUGGACUUCCAGAUCAAGAGAUGCUUCCUCCUCCCUAUCGUGCACGUUCACCACCCUUCCUGCUCAUUGCCAGGACUAAAAAUGCCCCUCCCCAUCUCUGCAACCACCAGCACUUUCUACGCAUGCCGAUUCAUUGAAGGCCAAAGAUUGCAGAGACGCUCCACCCGAGACUUCAGUGCCUUACUUUUCCAACAACGCCCCCUAAUACGACGUCCAAUGUGCUCUUUUAAGCCUCUGCACUGUUUUACAAUAAAUUAACUAUUGUCUG
Gymnodraco acuticeps is the source of this 1081-nucleotide long non-coding RNA. RefSeq lists it as uncharacterized. NCBI's taxonomy places the organism in Eukaryota, Metazoa, Chordata, Actinopteri, Perciformes, Bathydraconidae. The transcript is spliced from 4 exons. The record is from RefSeq and is a predicted model, not a curated record.